This 512-nucleotide ribosomal RNA is filed under the name uncultured bacterium. RNAcentral's name for it is "partial 16S ribosomal RNA". It matches the Rfam family "Bacterial small subunit ribosomal RNA", at positions 28 to 507 of the family's 1533-position model. The record is from RNAcentral.
GAUGAACGCUGGCGGCGUGCCUAAUACAUGCAAGUCGAACGAAACUUCUUUAUCACCGAGUGCUUGCACUCACCGAUAAAGAGUUGAGUGGCGAACGGGUGAGUAACACGUGGGCAACCUGCCCAAAAGAGGGGGAUAACACUUGGAAACAGGUGCUAAUACCGCAUAACCAUAGUUACCGCAUGGUAACUAUGUAAAAGGUGGCUAUACUACCGCUUUUGGAUGGGCCCGCGGCGCAUUAGCUAGUUGGUAGGGUAAAGGCUUACCAAGGCAAUGAUGCGUAGCCGAAUUGAGAGGUUGAUCGGCCACAUUGGGACUGAGACACGGCCCAAACUCCUACGGGAGGCAGCAGUAGGGAACCUUCCACAAUGGGCGAAAGCCUGAUGGAGCAACGCCGCGUGGGUGAAGAAGGUCUUCGGAUCGUAAAACCCUGUUGUUAGAGAAGAAAGUGCGUGAGAGUAACUGUUCACGUUUCGACGGUAUCUAACCGGAAAGCCACGGCUAACUACGUG